Sphaerodactylus townsendi is the source of this 179-nucleotide long non-coding RNA. RefSeq lists it as uncharacterized. The transcript is spliced from 3 exons. The record is from RefSeq and is a predicted model, not a curated record. Lineage: Eukaryota; Metazoa; Chordata; Lepidosauria; Squamata; Sphaerodactylidae.
UGUACAUCAUAAAAUCACAUAAAAACAUCAUAAACAUCCAUAAAUUACAAUAAAACAGCAGUUAUAAUAUAUCAAGAUGGCGUCCUAUCUAGAUCUAGUCCCUUUAGCAAGUGGGGGUAAUGGUCCCGGUGGUAUAAGGGGACCAUAGAUCUCAAUAAUGGAUCCCAACCCCCAUCUCC